Molecule: microRNA precursor, 69 nt
Filed under: Chlorocebus sabaeus (green monkey)
Lineage: Eukaryota; Metazoa; Chordata; Mammalia; Primates; Cercopithecidae
Description: miRNA (ENSCSAG00000021540.1)
Source: RNAcentral
AUGUAUAUAUGUGUGUGUGUGUAUAUAUAUGUAUAUAUAUGUAUAUAUAUACACACACAUAUACACACA